CUUGUUUUGGAGCUAGAAGGUGUUACAAGGUUGAGUGCUUCAGACCUAUUCCUGCAGUUCUAUAAAAACACCCCACUCACACCCUGAUGAAGACAGGAAAACUAAAUUAAAAAACAAUACGCAGCAAAACAAUACGUCUAUGUAUCCCCUACAGGUCUUGGCAUUUGAACCUGAAAGGAGAAUGUUUGAAUAGUUUAUAGACUGAAU
Pelobates cultripes (western spadefoot toad) is the source of this 207-nucleotide non-coding RNA. The record is from the annotation of a GenBank genome assembly. Lineage: Eukaryota; Metazoa; Chordata; Amphibia; Anura; Pelobatidae.